This 477-nucleotide ribosomal RNA is filed under the name uncultured bacterium. RNAcentral's name for it is "bacterial SSU rRNA". It matches the Rfam family "Bacterial small subunit ribosomal RNA", at positions 34 to 507 of the family's 1533-position model. The record is from RNAcentral.
CGCUGGCGGCAUGCCUUACACAUGCAAGUCGAACGGCAGCACGGGAGCAAUCCUGGUGGCGAGUGGCGAACGGGUGAGUAAUAUAUCGGAACGUGCCCGGUCGUGGGGGAUAACGUAGCGAAAGCUACGCUAAUACCGCAUACGAUCUACGGAUGAAAGCGGGGGAUCGCAAGACCUCGCGCGAUUGGAGCGGCCGAUAUCAGAUUAGGUAGUUGGUGAGGUAAAGGCUCACCAAGCCGACGAUCUGUAGCUGGUCUGAGAGGACGACCAGCCACACUGGGACUGAGACACGGCCCAGACUCCUACGGGAGGCAGCAGUGGGGAAUUUUGGACAAUGGGCGCAAGCCUGAUCCAGCAAUGCCGCGUGCAGGAUGAAGGCCUUCGGGUUGUAAACUGCUUUGUACGGAACGAAACGGUGAGCUCUAAUACAGUUUGCUAAUGACGGUACCGUAAGAAUAAGCACCGGCUAACUACGUG